RNAcentral lists this ribosomal RNA (253 nucleotides) under uncultured bacterium. RNAcentral describes it as "partial 16S ribosomal RNA". It matches the Rfam family "Bacterial small subunit ribosomal RNA", at positions 524 to 776 of the family's 1533-position model. The record is from RNAcentral.
UACAGAGGGGGCAAGCGUUAUUCGGAAUUAUUGGGCGUAAAGGGCGAGUAGGCGGCCUCCUAAGUCAGACGUGAAAUCCCCCGGCUUAACCUGGGAACUGCGUCUGAUACUGGGAAGCUUGAGUAUGGGAGAGGAAGGUAGAAUUCCAGGUGUAGCGGUGAAAUGCGUAGAUAUCUGGAGGAAUACCGGUGGCGAAGGCGGCCUUCUGGACCAUAACUGACGCUGAUCCGCGAAAGCUAGGGGAGCAAACGGG